CAGCUGGUGGUCUGCACGUUACAACAGGAUGCAGGCAGCCCAAUCACUCCAACUGAAGCUUAGAUAAGUAUUUCUAGUCUAACAGCACCUGACCACCUACUUCCUCGAGAUCUAAAAAAGCUAAAUAAUGCCAUUACAGAGCCUAAUCAGAAUGUAGUGGGGGACAACGAGACCAAUACAAUUGAUUAGAUCUAAUAACAUGACAUAAUUUACCUGGCCUUGCCAGUGUUCUGUAUUGUUGAGAACAAAAGCACUGUUCCGGUAUGUCAGUCUUGCUCAGUCACCGUUGAUUUCUGAUUUUUUUUUCAGAGAUAGUGUGCCAAGAACUGACAGUACAUCGCCUUUUAACAUCAAUCCUACUGCAAGUAAUUACAACUUUAUUGCUUUUUGCUGCAAGUUUAUGACUUUAGGAUACUACAGUUUCAAACUGCGGAUUAUUCUCUAAUUCCAAAUCUCUAAUAUAUACACGAUCACACAAAGGCACAGGUGUUUGGUAGGGAUUGAGUGUGUGAGUACAACUGGCCAGUCAGUGGCAUUAUCAGCACAUUCCUUCAGUGACAAUUGAGAAGACUUGUUGGUCUCGGAAAGAAUUUCUGCUCCAAGGAGUAGACUGACCCCGAAUGGUUGACUCGCUAGCCGCCUAGCCAGCAGCUAGCAAGCUACAAACUUACCAGAAGACAAUCCGUGUUUACUUCUGACUUUGGGUCCUUCAACAUGGCAUCGAUUUUUUCAAAUCGAGCCGCCAUGCUUUCCCCAGCAGACAUGUUUGCUGUUAAAGUCAGCUCCGAUGUUGGGUUGUGAACAAAAACAGCUCACUGGCGAGGCAGAAGGCUGGCUAGCUAGCUUUAGCAGCAGCCAGCAGUAGCUAGCUAGCCAAAUGUUCCUUUCUUCGUGUGAACUUUACACGGCACUUCAAAGAAAAUACAUCGUUCUCCUGCAGCUUUCACAGACGAUGAAACGUUUAAGAUUGCGUUGAAUGUACAAAAGCCACAUUUUCAGAGUCGAAAGAUGUUUUCCUUGCAAACAACUUCAGUGGCAAAAGAUAAAGUCGGCGACAGAUUAGUCAGCCUCCGCAGGAUGCCACUGAGGAUAAGGGCUUAAAAUGUUGGUGCAUCCAAACAAAAGGCAAUUAAAAGUUAGAUGUAAUGUCUUUUUGAAAAGCACAGUUUACGGAUAUGUUAGUCCAGACUCGUUCCCAUAUUUUGCCAGGCCCUUGCAGAAAACGACAAUAGAUUCUGACAGCUCAAAAGUAGAAGUGGUGGGAAAAAAACUUCUGCUUCUUCCAAAUUUCGAUCAGUUUGAACACGGAGUCGUUACAACGUUUAACGGCAGUCAUUCCGCGGCAUCCCGUGCACUGUCAUCGACUGUUUCCCGUCCACACAGAUACAUCUCUCAGGUCAAGGCAUACAAAUCGGCUUUAAAUAUGUGUUAGUUUUCGGAAAAAAACAGCAGACGAUGCCCGAUUUUCUCCCACAGCCUGACCAACAUGUCCGCCUUCCUGUUCAAACACCCCGGAGAAGCAACUUCAAAAUGUCAAGCAGUGCGCAUGCGCCCUGACGGCGCGUUCACAGACUGGUGGUAAGAUGUUGCUGUUCACAAAUGUUACAAUGUUGGCUAACUCACUGAAACCAUACAGUCUAUGAUUGAAACCCAGCAGAGAAAAACAAUUUAUUGUAGUCUAUUUAUUUCAGUGUUCAAAUGUUUGCCUUUCCCCUUUUAAAAUGUUUUUUUUUUAAGGCUGUUUUUACAAUUUACUGUUUUAAAUGUUGUGCCCUUUUCAAUUAUAUUCUUUCAAGUAAGGUACAUAAAGCUGAAUGGACAUUUGUGCCAGGGUGAUGGAUCAAUUUGCAUAAUGAGUACUUUUUUGAUGCUAAUACUUGUCUACUUUUACUUGAGUAACAUGUUUUAAUACUGGACUUCUUGUAAUUGUUCUAUUAGUUCUACUUUUACUCGAGUACUGAGUGCUGAAUAAAUAAUAAUAAUAAUAAUAAUAAUAAUAAUAAUAAUAAUAAUAAUAAUAAUAAUAAUAAUAAUAAUGAUAAUAAUAAUAAGUUGAAUUUAUAUAGAGCCUUUCUAGGUACCCAAGGCCGCUUUCCAUUUUGUGAGGACAGAAAGAAAACAAACAAACAAAAAACUAGGGCACAUAAAAUAAUAGAAAACUAGAGUAAAAUAAAAUAGAAAACAAAACAUGAGUAAACCAUUUACAUGUUAUACUGUAGUGAUUGAAGAAUUAAUCAUCUAUCAUUUCUUGUAUAUUAUUGUUAUAUUUUCUAAACAUGGCUGUAGAUAAGAUUAGAUUCAAAAGCAAUAGCCUAAUAUCAUCCAAAACAUCUCAAAACAACGUCUAUGUAAUCUCUGUUUAUUUGUCACAUGAACUAUCCGUCUAUUUGUUUGAAGCAAAAGCUUCCCUUUUUAUUAGAAAUUGUUGCUAGAUACUAACUGUGUACUUUAAUUAUGUAAUGAUAGUAUGAAUCAAUAAUUAUAGCAAUAUAAAGCUAUUUUUAAAACACAUCCCCUUUCUUCUUCUACGUUGCAACAAGCCUCCACGUGUGUUAAUUUUGCAUGUGAGCCAGCAGAGGGCGGUGCUGUACAACUUUAAUGUCACAACUCACUUGUGUUAAGAAACUUAAGGCCAAUGAUUUUAACAUUGUUUUAAAACAAAACACGUCAAGAAAGGUGCUUAAAAAAUGUAUAAUUUUUAUUCAUACCGGUUCAUUUACAUUUUUUGUAAAGAUGAUUUAUGUUAAACCUACACAGUACGAAGCCCCUUGCAACAUAGCAUGAACUCAAUGUGUAAGUUCUGUAUGUCUGCCACCUGAGGGAGAUGUUUGCACCUUAAAUAUACCUACCAUGGUCCGAGAAAUACGGUACAAAGGUUUCUUAAUGAAUUAUGUCCAUUUAGACAUUUAUGAACUGCCUUACACAGCAUGUAUGCAUGUAUGCAUGUAUGUAUGUAUGUAUGUAUGUAUGUAUGUAUGUAUGUAUGUAUGUAUGUAUGUAUGUAUGUAUGUAUGUAUGUAUGUAUGUAUGUAUGUAUGUAUGUAUGUAUGUAUGUAUGUAUGUAUGCUUGUAAGUAGCUAUCCAUCACUGAAUUAAUUGUUCAAUUAUUGUUUGGGAUGUUUGAUUUGUUUUGUCUAUUUAUCUGUUUACUUUCUUCAUUUCCUAUUUCCUUUCCUAUUUGAUUUAUAUUUGCUGCAUGUGCACAUCAGUGCAUUGCAAUACAAUAAACGUGUAUUAGAGGGGAAAUACUAUUAUUAGGCCUGGUAUAACGUCUGCUUCUGUUUACUACUGACUCAACAUUCAUACUUACCUUUAAUUAGAUUCAAAGGUUUCAUUGGCACAUGCACAUUUGCUACAGUGUAGUUAUGGCAAUGCAAAUAUUUAGUCCCACAUUCAACAACGCAACAUAAAUAUACACAGCAUAUAAACACUAAAAAAUGUGUGCAAAAACAAACAAACUAGUGCAAGACAAUUGACCAAUGUGCAAGUAAAUGUGUAACUUAUUAGUUAUUUGUCUGACUGUAAUCCUUUGUUGUUUUUUCCUCCCUUUUGAGCCACAAGCUGAUGUGAACUUCUCCUCUUGAACCAAACGGUACGUACAGUAACUCCGUGACGUCACUCAGCGGCUCCCUCUCAGUGCGCAGAUCAGCUGUGGCAGCAGAGCGACCGGAGCAGCAUAGCAGUGUGGCGGCGGUGUUCAACAAGCCACGGACGAACAGUUAACCCAAACACUCGAAUCUACGUGGACAUGACCGUGUAGCACCGACUCUCCUUGUGGAUAAAGGUCAACAUGUGGCGAUGCUGCCAGGAUUUGUGGGGGAGAGAGCUGUCUGUAGCAGUAGGCUUUUCCAUAGGCUGUCACACAUUAUCCAAGGCUACGGUGACCAAGACCCAGCCCUCUGCUGCGAGAACUCAACGUUCCUCUGUGACAGGGAAGGUCACUCUCUCUUUUUCAGUUGUGCACAUUUGUAAUGCAGCCCAACUUGAAAAAAAAACUUCAAAUAUUGAGAAUAAAGAUUUUUGUAUUGAU
Molecule: long non-coding RNA, 4030 nt
Organism: Eleginops maclovinus (Patagonian blennie)
Lineage: Eukaryota; Metazoa; Chordata; Actinopteri; Perciformes; Eleginopidae
Exons: 2
Source: RefSeq, a predicted model, not a curated record